Molecule: long non-coding RNA, 1540 nt
Organism: Bubalus bubalis (water buffalo)
Lineage: Eukaryota; Metazoa; Chordata; Mammalia; Artiodactyla; Bovidae
Exons: 3
Source: RefSeq, a predicted model, not a curated record
AGAUAGUGUCUGCAAUGUGAGCAUGGGCACCACCUUCUGGGGGCACAGGCUGCUCUGGGCACGGGUAAAGCAUGAAAUCAUACAUCUGAGUUCCACGUAGCCAGCACUUUGGAUAGAUUCUUUAUCUAUGGACCCUGAUGAUAGGGGCUCAUCAUGGUCUGCUUUGUUCUUUCCAGCUUAAAACUGUCACCAGAAGCCCUGGAUGAAAAAUACAGCCUCUGAUUCAUACCCACAGUCAGGAAACAUCCCUUGCGUUCAGUGCAGAAACAUGUCGGUCAACCUGGGAAAGAAAUCACCACCGCGAAGUAUGCUUUUGGCUUGCCAAAGCUUAGCAGCUGUGAGAGCCAAAAAUUCAGCUGCCUGGAUUUUCUGGGGAAGGUGGGGGGUGAUGUCAUGCUCAUUCUAAAGCCCAAGAGUUCUAAGGGACUGGGUUGCCUCUGCUGCAAUAGGAUGCCUAGAGAAGGACCCAAGAUUUCCUGAAGUCUCUGGGUUGAACGGCCUAGCUAAGCAAGAUGAGUCCAAAUACUCGGCGAUGUACCUAACCCAUGCACCCCAACCUAGGACAGCGCUGAUGGCUGCCCUUCUGUACCAGACUUGACCGAGGACAGUGAAGCCGCCGCGAGGGCUUCCCGCUCUGACGCCCCGCCUUCUGGCAGCCCCGGGGCAGGAAAGCGCCGGCGACGACGGGUCUCCGAAGCCCGGUGGUGGAAACCCCCGGUCUCUGGUGUGAGCCGGUGGGAACCCGCGGGCACGCUGGCUCCCUGCUCAGGCCCCGGGCGCACGCGGGGUGGGGCGGGAGGGUCUGAGCACCUGUGGUCCUGACCGCCCGCCGCCCGCCUCUCCGCCCACUUUCGCCCUCCAAGCCCCCCUUCCCGAUUUACCCCACUCCUUGGGGUGUGGGUGUUUGUUUUAACCCAAACGGAUGGGUGAAUAGCACCCUUGUCUGGCGCUUUCCUCCUCCCCAACCUCUAGAGCUGGUCCCUGAGAGGCUCGUUCCAGGGUUCCUUGAUUUGGGGGACCUGAAAAAACACGCGCUUUUGCUGAAGCCAGCGUUGGGCUCCCCCCCCCCCCCCCCCCCCCCCCCGUGCCCUGGCACGCUGGCCAGGAGAGGAAGCGGGGAGGAGGCAGGAACCAGACGCGACUCCCCCGCCCCGCGCCUUUCUUCUCUUCCCUGCUCCCCGCCCCUUCAGGAAGAAAGCAGUCAAGAGAUCUGAUCGCUCGUUGCGGCCGCCGUGCCAGCACCAAGCACUACGUACUCCUCUCCCUUCCACCCAGUUUUGCACGGAGCGCCCGGCUGCCCGCGCGCCUGGGGCUGGGCAGGUCCCGGCGGGCGGUGCAGCCUCCCCUCCCCCCGGGGCUCUUAGCGAAUCACGUUGUUCCUGGGAUUUCACGAUCUAGUGGCUCUUGCGUAACCCUAUGCCCUGGCCUAAAUUAACUUUUUUUUUUAAAUACUAGGAUUAAUCCUUUAGGAAAAGGCAAAUACUUCCGUCACGGAACCGGCCUGGGAGUACAUGUGUAAAUCACCGUGCUGACUCGAUUC